This 301-nucleotide ribosomal RNA is filed under the name uncultured bacterium. RNAcentral describes it as "partial 16S ribosomal RNA". It matches the Rfam family "Bacterial small subunit ribosomal RNA", at positions 509 to 809 of the family's 1533-position model. The record is from RNAcentral.
CAGCCGCCGCGGGAAUACGUAGGUGGCCAGCGUUGUCCGGAAUUAUUGGGCGUAAAGGGCUCGCAGGCGGUUUCUUAAGUCUGAUGUGAAAGCCCCCGGCUUAACCUGGGAACUGCAUUUGUGACUGGCGGGCUAGAGUAUGGCAGAGGGCAGCGGAAUUCCGGGUGUAGCGGUGAAAUGCGUAGAUAUCCGGAGGAACACCGAUGGCGAAGGCAACUGCCUGGGCCUGAUCUGACACUGAGGCACGAAAGCGUGGGUAGCAAACAGGAUUAGAUACCCCGGUAGUCCCUGUCUCUUAUAA